RNAcentral lists this long non-coding RNA (378 nucleotides) under Astyanax mexicanus (Mexican tetra). Its description in RNAcentral is "lncRNA (ENSAMXG00005024181.1)". The record is from RNAcentral. Lineage: Eukaryota; Metazoa; Chordata; Actinopteri; Characiformes; Acestrorhamphidae.
CAAUUGAAUGGAGACAAGAUAAUGUCAAUACAAGCCAAAGUUGAAAUCCAGGUACCAAUGACUCAGCAGACCAAGGACAAAUCCCAGAAAAUGAAUAGCCUCGGUUUCAUCGUUUGAUUGAAGCUUAUCUCAGUUACAAGGAUAAUGCUCACCCACAUCCCACAGCAUGGGUUUCCCAAGGAUGUUUCAACACUUCCCAACUGCCCAGUUGCCAGAUUUGUCUCCAAUCAAGUUAAAUCCGAGACCAGCUCGGAUGCAACCUUCAGAAACCUCUAAGAGAGCAGGAUCUACAUGCCCAGCUGCAAUAUAUAGGUGGACCAAUGUUGUGUGAGGAGUCUAGCCCAAGAACUCUGAUAGUCAUCCAGAACUGGAAUUAAA